AACAAGGUUUCCGUAGGUGAACCUGCGGAAGGAUCAUUAUUGAAUUUUGAAUGGGGUUGUAGCUGGCCUUUCAAAGGGCAUGUGCACGCCUCGCUUCAAUCCACUUACCCCUGUGAACACUCUGUAGGUCGGCUCAAGGGACAAAUUCUUAACGGGGUUUGUUUUGGGCCUUCCUAUGUUUUAUUACAAACGUUUAAAGUCUAAAGAAUGUACUCGCGUCUAACGCAUUAUAUACAACUUUCAGCAACGGAUCUCUUGGCUCUCGCAUCGAUGAAGAACGCAGCGAAAUGCGAUAAGUAAUGUGAAUUGCAGAAUUCAGUGAAUCAUCGAAUCUUUGAACGCACCUUGCGCUCCUUGGUAUUCCGAGGAGCAUGCCUGUUUGAGUGUCAUGGAAUUAUCAACUUGUUUAUCUUUGUAUGAACGCAGUUGGAUUUGGAGGCCAUUGCCGGAUUGUAAUGACUCGGCUCCUCUUGAAUGCAUUAGCUCGAACCUUUGCGGAUCAGCUUUUGGUGUGAUAAUUGUCUACGCCGCUAACUGAGACACAUGAAUGGGAUCGGCUUACAGUCGUCCUUGAACGGACAAUUUAUUAUGACUUCUGACCUCAAAUCAGGUAGGAUUACCCGCUGAACUUAAGCAUAUCA
This 641-nucleotide ribosomal RNA is filed under the name Antrodia heteromorpha. RNAcentral describes it as "eukaryotic LSU rRNA". The stretch from base 236 to 389 matches the Rfam family "5.8S ribosomal RNA". The record is from RNAcentral. Lineage: Eukaryota; Fungi; Basidiomycota; Agaricomycetes; Polyporales; Fomitopsidaceae.